UACGAAGGGGGCUAGCGUUGUUCGGAAUUACUGGGCGUAAAGGGCGCGUAGGCGGCACUGUUAGUCAGGCGUGAAAGUCCUGGGCUCAACCUGGGAACUGCGCUUGAUACGGCAGAGCUAGAGGAUGGAAGAGGCUCGCGGAAUUCCCAGUGUAGAGGUGAAAUUCGUAGAUAUUGGGAAGAACACCGGUGGCGAAGGCGGCGAGCUGGACGGAUACUGACGCUGAGACGCGAAAGCGUGGGUAGCAAACAGG
This 253-nucleotide ribosomal RNA is filed under the name uncultured bacterium. RNAcentral's name for it is "partial 16S ribosomal RNA". It matches the Rfam family "Bacterial small subunit ribosomal RNA", at positions 524 to 776 of the family's 1533-position model. The record is from RNAcentral.